RNAcentral lists this long non-coding RNA (615 nucleotides) under Parus major (Great Tit). RNAcentral describes it as "lncRNA (ENSPMJG00000001427.1)". The record is from RNAcentral. Lineage: Eukaryota; Metazoa; Chordata; Aves; Passeriformes; Paridae.
GGAAUGUCAGCACCUGGAUUGUUUCAUUAAUUUCUGUCUCAAAGUUCUCCUGUCCCAGCAGGCCAGGAAACAGUGAUGUGGAGCCUUCAGCACUCGGUUCCCUUCUGAGCCAAGAGGAAUCAGACAAGUUCUGAAUUCCUCUACCUUGGUGGCCGCAUGGUCUCCUCGAAGCGCUGAGCUGCCAAGCAGCAGCAGUGAGGAGCCAGGGCUGGUGCAGUCCUCAGUGGUUCCUAGACACUUCCCUUGACACAAGCACCAGACAGAAGAACCAUGACAAGCUGGGAAAAUCUUGGUUUGGGAGAUUGCAACAUCCUCCGUUAUUUUCUAUUUUAGCAUCUCGAUGUAAAGACUAAGAAGACUGGAAGACUAAACUACAGAACCAGCAGGACUGUGAAGACUUUUGGCUGCAGUUUCCACUGGGCUGUGAUAGUUAACAGCUCAAAAAAAAACCUGAGGAUAUAAAAUCAAAAAGUUGAGUUUCUUACAUGCUUGCUUGUAGCUGAGUAUUUAGACAAUUUAGCUGGGGGAGUGGGGAGGAGGAGGAAGCCCCAAACCAAAACUCAUUGCAAAAAGUGACAGCAAGAAGGCAGCAGGAGAAGAAGCUGGAUCUUGAAG